This 250-nucleotide unclassified non-coding RNA is filed under the name plant metagenome. RNAcentral's name for it is "partial contains small subunit ribosomal RNA, internal transcribed spacer 1, and 5.8S ribosomal RNA". The record is from RNAcentral.
GUAGGCAAGUUUAACCCCCAAGUUCCCCCCAACCUUCUACUGUACUAACAAACUCUUAGGUGAACCUGCGGAAGGAUCAUUACUGAGUUAGGGUCUUCUAGGCCCGACCUCCAACCCUUUGUCUAUUUUACCUCUUGUUGCUUCGGUGGGUCCGUCCCCUCUAGAAAUGGAGGACGACCGCCGGAGGGUUUACCGCCCUCUGGCCCGCGCCCACCGACGGCCCCAACCCAAAACUCUUGUUUAAACAUGA